CAGUUCCCAAAGAAACCACGUGCGCACUACCACCUAAAACUGCCAAUGAAAAUGAAGGUCCUGCGCAGUAAAAUAUUUAUACAACUGCUGGGGCCACUAGGCUUCAGCGGGUGUGGAGGCGGGGAGAGAGGAGGAGUAAAGGCUGUUUACAAACUUGACGUACACACGCAGUCCUAUCCCUACGGUCCUGGAAUUGGGGGUUACUAUCUUGGAAUCUAGGGGCACUCCAGGCUCUGGGCUCAGACGGCUGGCUUCUGCCUACCCGAGCCUUAACCUUUCAAGGACCAGAAGGAUUCCAGAGCUCUUGCCCUAGGUCCUGGGGCAGCGAUGACUCACUGCAGCACCCCCUCCCACUUCGCCAAGCUGCCGUCUCCGCCCACCCCCAAACAAUCUCGACAGCGCAUUUCGGGAGCCACGGCUCCGGGCGCUUUGCUGGGGGCUAAAGGGGUUUAUCCCUUUCCUUGAAUCCCAGCAGGCUAGAACUACCCCCUCCCAGUCUUCAGGCUUGCCACGCUCUCCACCCGAUCCUUCCAUUGAAAGGCAGAGAAGGAAGGAUGUGCUUGGGAACUUUAAGACCCACGAACGACAGCGCACUGAUGGAGCAGCCCAGUGUCUGGGGCAAAGUCCUCGAGGUUCAUUCAUUCAGGAAGCCUCUGACCAGCCUUUACCAUGCGCUGAGUGAGAAGCUGAGGAUAAGGAAAGAGCAAGACCCCCAAGAAACCCUGAUGUCUGGCUGAAAGCCGAAGCAUGACGCAACUUUGCUAUAUUUCUCUCCAACAAGGAUUUGUAUAUUUUCGCUUUCUCCUCAAGUAACACCUGGACCUGCUCCUUUCCCUUCAAACGCUGAGGGCUCAGUCUCCAAGUUCCUUUAUGAAACAGGGUGUACCAUCAGAGACGCAGGUAUUUAUUGAAACCUGCUUUGUGCUGGGCAAUGUGCCAGAUGUUGGGGAUAAAAUGGUGAGCAGACAGAUCCUGUGCCUGUCUUUAUUGAGCUUGG
Molecule: long non-coding RNA, 997 nt
Filed under: Homo sapiens (human)
Lineage: Eukaryota; Metazoa; Chordata; Mammalia; Primates; Hominidae
Description: non-protein coding ADAMTS9-AS2:1
Source: RNAcentral